GAUGAACGCUGGCGGCGUGCCUAAUACAUGCAAGUCGAGCGAACAGAUGAGAAGCUUGCUCCUCUGACGUUAGCGGCGGACGGGUGAGUAACACGUGGAUAACCUACCUAUAAGACUGGGAUAACUUCGGGAAACCGGAGCUAAUACCGGAUAAUAUAUUGAACCGCAUGGUUCAAUAGUGAAAGACGGUUUUGCUGUCACUUAUAGAUGGAUCCGCGCCGCAUUAGCUAGUUGGUAAGGUAACGGCUUACCAAGGCAACGAUGCGUAGCCGACCUGAGAGGGUGAUCGGCCACACUGGAACUGAGACACGGUCCAGACUCCUACGGGAGGCAGCAGUAGGGAAUCUUCCGCAAUGGGCGAAAGCUUGACGGAGCAACGCCGCGUGAGUGAUGAAGGUCUUCGGAUCGUAAAACUCUGUUAUUAGGGAAGAACAAAUGUGUAAGUAACUAUGCACGUCUUGACGGUACCUAAUCAGAAAGCCACGGCUAACUACGUG
RNAcentral lists this ribosomal RNA (497 nucleotides) under uncultured bacterium. Its description in RNAcentral is "partial 16S ribosomal RNA". It matches the Rfam family "Bacterial small subunit ribosomal RNA", at positions 28 to 507 of the family's 1533-position model. The record is from RNAcentral.